UAGGGAAUCUUCCACAAUGGACGAAAGUCUGAUGGAGCAACGCCGCGUGAGUGAUGAAGGGUUUCGGCUCGUAAACUCUGUUGUUGGAGAAGAACAGGUGAUAGAGUAACUGUUAUCAUCUUGACGGUAUCCAACCAGAAAGCCACGGCUAACUACGUGCCAGCAGCCGCGGUAAUACGUAGGUGGCAAGCGUUGUCCGGAUUUAUUGGGCGUAAAGCGAGCGCAGGCGGUUUUUUAGGUCUGAUGUGAAAGCCUUCGGCUUAACCGGAGAAGGGCAUCGGAAACCGGGAGACUUGAGUGCAGAAGAGGACAGUGGAACUCCAUGUGUAGCGGUGAAAUGCGUAGAUAUAUGGAAGAACACCAGUGGCGAAGGCGGCUGUCUGGUCUGUAACUGACGCUGAGGCUCGAAAGCAUGGGUAGCGAACAGGAUUAGAUACCCUGGUAGUCCAUGCCGUAAACGAUGAGUGCUAAGUGUUGGAGGGUUUCCGCCCUUCAGUGCUGCAGCUAACGCAUUAAGCACUCCGCCUGGGGAGUACGACCGCAAGG
This 546-nucleotide ribosomal RNA is filed under the name uncultured bacterium. Its description in RNAcentral is "partial 16S ribosomal RNA". It matches the Rfam family "Bacterial small subunit ribosomal RNA", at positions 355 to 893 of the family's 1533-position model. The record is from RNAcentral.